Molecule: long non-coding RNA, 231 nt
Organism: Lemur catta (Ring-tailed lemur)
Lineage: Eukaryota; Metazoa; Chordata; Mammalia; Primates; Lemuridae
Exons: 3
Source: RefSeq, a predicted model, not a curated record
AAUCCUUCUGCCUCUGCCUCCCAGGGUGCUAGGAUUACAGGUGUGAGCCACCCCACCGGUCUAGGAUUUCUCAAUAUAAAGGGUGAUCAGCAUGGUCAAUGCCAAAGUAAACGUGAGAAUCCUUGGAAACAUCAUCCUCAUCGCAGGAAGUUCCUGACUCUCAGGUGCCUGUGAUGUGGCAGGCACACUGUGGCCUGUGUGGGGGUGAUCAGCAUGGUCAAUGCCAAAGUA